GGUAGUUAACAUCUAAGAGGUUUUAAGAGCUUUUCUUUAAAUUGAUGAGUUUGAUUUUCUUCAAAUUUUAUAUGCUUAUUAAUUACUUGUGGAUUGAAGUAUAAGUAAAAAUUUAUUUAAAAUCAAUGGUUUAAUUAAUAUUUAUUAAGGUUUUAAAAUAACAAUAGUAAAUAAUUAAAAUUUACUUAGAAUUUUUUUGAGAUUGCUUAGGAUUUAUUUAAAGAUUUAGUUAGGAUUUAGGAUUUAGGAUUUGAUUAGAAUUUGGUUAGGAUUUAUUAAGAUUUUAUUAGAAUUGGUCUAAGAUUUAAGAUUUGAUUAAGAUU
This 323-nucleotide long non-coding RNA is filed under the name Physcomitrium patens. RNAcentral describes it as "long non-coding RNA (PPAT_LNC004110)". The record is from RNAcentral. Lineage: Eukaryota; Viridiplantae; Streptophyta; Bryopsida; Funariales; Funariaceae.